This 1813-nucleotide ribosomal RNA is filed under the name Trichinella murrelli. Its description in RNAcentral is "SSU rRNA". It matches the Rfam family "Eukaryotic small subunit ribosomal RNA". Lineage: Eukaryota; Metazoa; Nematoda; Enoplea; Trichinellida; Trichinellidae. The record is from RNAcentral.
CCUGGUUGAUCCUGCCAGUAGUCAUAUGCUUGUCUCAAAGAUUAAGCCAUGCAUGUGUAAGCACACACUGUUUUAAAAGUGAAGCCGCGAAUGGCUCAUUACAACAGCCACAGUUUAUUAGAACUUACAAUCAUGGAUAACUGUGGUAAUUCUAGAGCUAAUACACGCACAAAACUUCAACUGAAUUGGUUGAAGUGCUUUUAUUAGAACAAAAACCGAACGGCGUUUGGCGAAUGUUGAACGUCGAAACUGUUUGGUGAAUCUGAAUAACUAUUUCUGAUCGCAUGGUCUAGCACCGGCGACAUCACUUUCAAGUGUCUGCCUUAUCAACCUUCGAUGGUAGUCUAUGCGACUACCAUGGUGAUAACGGGUAACGGAGAAUCAGGGUUCGACUCCGGAGAGGGAGCCUGAGAAACGGCUACCACAUCCAAGGAAGGCAGCAGGCGCGCAAAUUACCCACUCCCAGCUUGGGGAGGUAGUGACGAAAAAUAACGAGACGAUUCUCGUUUGAGAAACGUUAUCGAAAUGAGUACGCUUUACACACGCUAACGAGUAGCAAUUGGAGGGCAAGUCUGGUGCCAGCAGCCGCGGUAAUUCCAGCUCCAAUAGCGUAUAUUAAAGUUGCUGCGGUUAAAACGCUCGUAGUUGAAUUGUGGUCUUAGACAACAGUCCCCCUACAUAGGUGUGGCACGGUUGCUCGAGAUCUUCAUUCGUGGUUGCUGUUGUUGCUCUUCAUUGAGUGUCAAUGGUGCCUCGAGAUUUUACUUUGAAAAAAUUAGAGUGCUCAAAGCAGGUUGUGAUGCCUGAAUAAUGGUGCAUGGAAUAAUAGAAUACGAUCUCGGUUCUAUUUUGUUGGUUUUCGAACCGGAGAUAAUGAUUGAAAGGAACAGACGGGGCAUUCGUAUUGCUGCGUUAGAGGUGAAAUUCUUGGAUCGCAGCAAGAUGAACAAUUGCGAAAGCAUUUGCCAAGAAUGUUUUCAUUAAUCAAGAACGAAAGUUAGAGGUUCGAAGGCGAUCAGAUACCGCCCUAGUUCUAACGGUAAACUAUGCCAACCAGCGAUUCGCCGAAGUUCAUUUAAGACUCGGCGAGCAGCUUCCGGGAAACCAAAGUGUUUCGGUUCCGGGGGAAGUAUGGUUGCAAAGCUGAAACUUAAAGGAAUUGACGGAAGGGCACCACCAGGAGUGGAGCCUGCGGCUUAAUUUGACUCAACACGGGAAAACUCACCCGGCCCGGACACUGGAAGGAUUGACAGAUUGACAGCUCUUUCUUGAUUCAGUGGGUAGUGGUGCAUGGCCGUUCUUAGUUGGUGGAGCGAUUUGUCUGGUUAAUUCCGAUAACGAACGAGACUCUACCCUAUUAAAUAGUGACAGUAUUGUAUUUUUUGUGCUGAUCACUUCUUAGAGGGACUGGCAAAUUGAAAGCUGCACGAAAAAGAGCAAUAACAGGUCUGUGAUGCCCUUCGAUGUCCGGGGCUGCACGCGCGCUACAAUGAAAGCGUCAACGUGAGUUACGUCCUUACCUGAAAAGGUUUGGCAAUCGAAUGAAACGUUUUCUUGAAUGGAAUAGGGAAUUGCAAUUGUUUCCCUUGAACGAGGAAUUCCCAGUAAGCGUGAGUCAUUAGCUCGCGUUGAUUACGUCCCUGCCCUUUGUACACACCGCCCGUCGCUACUACCGAUUGGAUGAUUUAGUGAGGUGUUUUGACUGGCGCCAGUAGUCGGAUGUAUUCGGCUUCGCGCCGGGAAAUUUCCCAAACCAAAUCAUCUAGAGGAAGUAAAAGUCGUAACAAGGUUUCCGUAGGUGAACCUGCGGAAG